RNAcentral lists this long non-coding RNA (210 nucleotides) under Elaeis guineensis (African oil palm). RNAcentral describes it as "long non-coding RNA (EGUI_LNC003232)". Lineage: Eukaryota; Viridiplantae; Streptophyta; Magnoliopsida; Arecales; Arecaceae. The record is from RNAcentral.
CUCAUGGGAGCUCUCGGGUAGCAAGAAAGGCCCCACACCCUCGUCCUGACUACGAUGGAUAGGAAUCGGGACGGUGAGAAUCUGAUCCACAAGCGGGCCACUGAAGAGACAGGCGAUGUCCUAUGCUCUCCAAUCCCUACUGUCUGUAGUGAGCAGGUCACAGACUCGAAGCCAAUCAUCCAUCUCCAUACUGACGUAAGUCGGCCAUCG